GAUAAAAGAUCAUUUACACCUGGUAGAAUAAGCACUCACCUGCCCCGCCGUUACGCUUUUCGUGCUAGGGAGAAGAAGGAACUGCAGAAAAUCCUGGAUCGAAAACGGCACAACAGCAUCUCGGAAGCGAAAUCUCGCGAGAGGAGCAAAAAAGAUGUGGAAUUAACUGAGAUCAACAGGAGGCAUAUCACGGAGUCCGUCAACUCAAUUCGGAGGCUUGAAGAGGCCCAGAAACGACGUCAGGAAAAAUUACUUUUGGGACACCAGGAAAUCGUGCAAUUGAUUGAGGACGAAGAACCACGGUUGGUAGCCCAGCUGGAACAAGACUGGCAGCUGGAGUGCUGCUCCCUGACCCAAGAGAUUGGCCGGUUCCUCCAAGAAGAACUCGACGGGAGGGUCAGCAACGGGCACCCCCCGGGCACCAGCGUCAGCUCCUUGCCCCCCGAAGACGAGCUGACGGUCCUGUGAAUCCAACGGAGAACAAGGGACGUCCCCGAAGGCCAGCCGGCCGCCAACGAGAAGCAGUGGGGGGGGGGAGCACCCUUGCAUGUUAAACACCCCCCCCGGGAGGGACGGGGGGGGGGGGGGGGGGAGGUUAGGACCGGCCGAAAAACACACUAAAGGCACUUCUUUCUGGUUUCCUUUUUUCUUUUUUUUUAAAAAAAAGUUUUAUUUUUUUAAACUUUGUGGGUUUCCCCCACCUAUAUAUUUUUUUUUAAAUUGCUAAAUUGUGACGUGUCUCCUCCCGCUUCUCCGUGGUGGAUCGAGACUGGAGAAAGUCUCCUUUUGUCAAAGAGGGGAGGGGGGCAACGGUUGGACAAUCUACUCCCCCCCCCCCCCGAAUUCUACGCACGCCCUUGUGUCCACCUAUUUUGCACGCCGUGGUGCCAGUGGAAAAACACGCAUGCCGCUCAUUGCCUCCCGUGUCCUUUCGAAUGCACGAUUAGAGAUGAGAGCAAUUUUUUUUUCUAGCGGUGGGGGGAGAGAGAGCAAAGGGUUAUUUUAAAUGCAUCCCCCUCCUUUUUUUCCCUUUCUUUCGUUUUAUUUUUUUAAAGCGCAAGAGCUUGAGAAAGAAAAAAAAUAAAAGGGAAAUGUCCAUUUUUGUUUGCGUCUUCCCUGCAGCUGGAAUGGGCUUUGCCAGCUGUGUGGAGGGAGGGGGGGCAGAGGAUACCCGGAGUGGCCACUGGAUUGGUUGGAAGGCCGUCCAGGAACAAAGGACGGCGAGGGAAGAGGGACAAAAAGUUAAAGGCAGGUUGGUCCGUCCGUCUGUCUGUCAUCGUUUUCGGGAUGGGUCCAAAGUGGAGAAGAGUCGAGGUUGACCACUGAUCAAUCUUGCCCUUUCCCCCCCCCCACUCUGGAAUGGCAUGGAUUGCUGUUAUUUCUGUCUUUUUUUUUUUUUUAACGUUGACUAAUAAACUUGUAAUUCAAUGGUCUCCC
This is a non-coding RNA of Notechis scutatus (mainland tiger snake), 1437 nucleotides long. Lineage: Eukaryota; Metazoa; Chordata; Lepidosauria; Squamata; Elapidae. The record is from RefSeq and is a predicted model, not a curated record.